This 614-nucleotide ribosomal RNA is filed under the name uncultured archaeon. Its description in RNAcentral is "bacterial SSU rRNA". It matches the Rfam family "Archaeal small subunit ribosomal RNA", at positions 1 to 618 of the family's 1478-position model. The record is from RNAcentral.
UUCCGGUUGAUCCUGCCGGAGGUUACUGCUAUCGGUGUUCGCCUAAGCCAUGCGAGUCAUAUGUAGCAAUACAUGGCGUACUGCUCAGUAACACGUGGAUAACCUGCCCUUGGGACCGGCAUAACCCCGGGAAACUGGGGAUAAUUCCGGAUAACGCAUAUGUGCUGGAAUGCUUUAUGCGUAAAAUGGAUUCGUCUGCCCAAGGAUGGGUCUGCGGCCUAUCAGGUAGUAGUGGGUGUAAUGUACCUACUAGCCAGCGACGGGUACGGGUUGUGAGAGCAAGAGCCCGGAGAUGGAUUCUGAGACAUGAAUCCAGGCCCUACGGAGCGCAGCAGGCGCGAAAACUUUACAAUGCGGGAAACCGUGAUAAGGGGACACCGAGUGCCAGCAUCAUAUGCUGGCUGUCCAGGUGUGUAAAAUACACCUGUUAGCAAGGGCCGGGCAAGACCGGUGCCAGCCGCCGCGGUAACACCGGCGGCCCGAGUGGUGAUCGUGAUUAUUGGGUCUAAAGGGUCCGUAGCCGGUUUGGUCAGUCCUCCGGGAAAUCUGAUAGCUUAACUAUUAGGCUUUCGGGGGAUACUGCCAGACUUGGAACCGGGAGAGGUAAGAGGUAC